RNAcentral lists this ribosomal RNA (305 nucleotides) under uncultured bacterium. Its description in RNAcentral is "bacterial SSU rRNA". It matches the Rfam family "Bacterial small subunit ribosomal RNA", at positions 333 to 635 of the family's 1533-position model. The record is from RNAcentral.
ACGGACCUACGGGGCGCAGCAGUGAGGAAUAUUGGUCAAUGGGCGGGAGCCUGAACCAGCCAAGUCGCGUGAGGGAAGACGGUCCUAUGGAUUGUAAACCUCUUUAGGCGGGGAGCAAUGCCGGGCACGUGUGCCCGGAGGGAGAGUACCCGCAGAAUAAGCAUCGGCUAACUCCGUGCCAGCAGCCGCGGUAAUACGGAGGAUGCGAGCGUUAUCCGGAUUUAUUGGGUUUAAAGGGUGCGUAGGCGGUCCGUUAUGUCAGCGGUAAAAUUGCGGGGCUCAACCCCGCCGAGCCGUUGAAACUG